CACACACACCCACCCAAGUGUGUGCGUGUGUGUGUGUACGCACACGUGUGAGAUGUUAUAAUCGUUACUACUAAUGACCGUGAUUCGCUGGCGGCAGAUCGAAAAUUACUUUUGUGCAAAUCCCGGUUUUUUUCGGCCUAUCCGUCAAAUUCAAUGGCCCAACAGCGGUGGCAUUAUGGAUUCAUUUGUUUCUGCCAUAAUGAUGAUUUGGAUUUUCAACCGCGAGCUGUCGGACGCCAUCAAUGGAGGAGUAAUCGUCGCACUGCACUCAUCAUCAUCUUCUUCUUUGGCAGUCCCUCGUCGAUCGAGGAAGACUUCCUCUCACCGUGGUUCUGCGUCUUCCGCGGUGACUGGUGAGCCCAAUGCGAGACGCGCAGACUCGACCGCAGUGGGUUGCGGGAGGUACCGCACAGGCCCCGGGUGGAGUACGGUGAGCAGCCUUUGUGAAUAACCAAGCUGGAGACAAUUGAUGGACCGGCCCUCCGUCGCUGGGGAGACGUGGUGCAGCCUUUAAGAGCAAAUGAUGGAGAUUGCGUCUGAGGCCCAUCGACACGAAACCCCGAACCUCAAUUCACUCUCAAGUGCUGUCCCACCCCCGCUACAUCGACAUCAGACGCACGGAAGAAGAAGAAGAAGCAGACUUGUACAGGCAACAGCGGUACAGGUGCUACUCAUUUUAACCAACAUUGGAGGGACAACCUUUCAACGAGGACUCGAGCACGCCAACUGAUGAAACAAGCCCAACUGGAGUGGGGUAUAGGGGUAAGGACUGAAUAUUUUCAGCAGCCGAUGUAGAUGCUUGGCCUGGAAUUAAAGUUCGUUUUGUUUUUUAAACCAGGUGAAAACUCUAAGAGACCAGCAGAGUAUGUCACGCGUUCCACUCUAGCCUCUCACAUUGUAUGUGCACAUGAGGAUUUGUACCGAUAUUGUCGUGCUGCAAUAUAUCUAAAGAGCAAUGAUCCAGGUCAUCUCCUCUCUGCUUGGGAAUUGUAAUCCGUUAAGACUAAACUAAAUUAUAAACUAAUCUUUGGUUUUUUCGGUAAAGUCACGUAGAAAUAAGAAAAAAUCAAAUUACGUAAGAAAAAAUAA
This is a long non-coding RNA of Petromyzon marinus (sea lamprey), 1089 nucleotides long. RefSeq lists it as uncharacterized. Lineage: Eukaryota; Metazoa; Chordata; Hyperoartia; Petromyzontiformes; Petromyzontidae. The record is from RefSeq and is a predicted model, not a curated record.